AAAUUCCUUGUCGGGUAAGUUCCGACCCGCACGAAAGGCGUAAUGAUUUGGGCACUGUCUCGACAAUGCACCCGGUGAAAUUGAAAUACCAGUGAAGAUGCUGGUUACCUGCGCCAGGACGGAAAGACCCCAUGGAGCUUUACUCUAGCUUGAUACUGGGGUUCGGUAUUGCAUGUACAGGAUAGGUGGGAGACUGAGAAGAUGUGUCGCCAGAUGCAUCAGAGUCGAUGUUGGGAUACCACCCCUGCAGUACUGGGCUUCUAACCUGCAGCCGUGACCCGGCUGGGGGACAAUGUCUGGUGGGGAGUUUGACUGGGGCGGUCGCCUCCGAAAGAGUAUCGGAGGCGCUCAAAGGUUCCCUCAGAAUGGUUGGAAACCAUUCGAAGAGCGCAAAGGCAGAAGGGAGCUUGACUGCGACACCGACGGGUGGAGCAGGUACGAAAGUAGGACUUAGUGAUCCGGUGGCAUAAAGUGGGAUUGCCAUCGCUCAACGGAUAAAAGCUACCCUGGGAUAACAGGCUUAUCACUCCCAAGAGUUCACAUCGACGGAGUGGUUUGGCACCUCGAUGUCGGCUCAUCGCAUCCUGGGGCUGUAGUAGGUCCCAAGGGUUGGGCUGUUCGCCCAUUAAAGCGGUACGCGAGCUGGGUUCAGAACGUCGUGAGACAGUUCGGUCCCUAUCCGGCGCGGGCGGAGGAUAUUUGAGAGGAGCUGUCCUUAGUACGAGAGGACCGGGAUGGACGGACCACUGGUGUAUCUGCUGUCGACCAACGGCAUGGCAGAGUAGCCAAGUCCGGAAGGGAUAAACGCUGAAGGCAUCUAAGCGUGAAGCCCCCCUCAAGAUGAGAUAUCCCAUAACAUAAGUUAGUAAGACCCCUUGAAGACGACGAGGUAGAUAGGCAGAAGGUGGAAGUGUGGUGACAUAUGGAGCUGAUCUGUACUAAUAGGUC
This 948-nucleotide ribosomal RNA is filed under the name human gut metagenome. Its description in RNAcentral is "bacterial LSU rRNA". It matches the Rfam family "Bacterial large subunit ribosomal RNA", at positions 1962 to 2910 of the family's 2925-position model. The record is from RNAcentral.